CAGCAGCCGCGGUAAGACAGAGGAUGCAAGCGUUAUCCAGAAUGAUUGGGUGUAAAGCGUCCGUAGGUGGCUUUUCAAGUCCGCCGUCAAACCCCAGGGCUAAACCCUGGACAGGCGAUGGAAACUACCAAGCUGGAGUAUGGUAGGGGCAGAGGGAAUUUCCGGUGGAGAGGUGAAAUGCGUUGAGAUCAGAAAGACACCAACGGCGAAAGCACUCUGCUGGGCCGACACUGACACUAAGAGAUGAAAGCCAGGGGAAAAAAUGGGAUUAGAUACCCCGGUAGUCCCUGUCUCUUAUACA
This 301-nucleotide ribosomal RNA is filed under the name uncultured bacterium. Its description in RNAcentral is "partial 16S ribosomal RNA". It matches the Rfam family "Bacterial small subunit ribosomal RNA", at positions 509 to 809 of the family's 1533-position model. The record is from RNAcentral.